UGUUCUGCACUGUCCUCUUUUCCACAGAGAUUCUGGAGACAGACGCUGCCAUCAGGUGAUCUACAGGUGUGGAGUUGUAGCCCCAGAGGUUUUGGAGGAGAGCGUACUGGACUCACAGGGGAAGGUGGACAGGAAACUGGCGUUCGGACCUGCCUCCUGACAGAAGAUGAAGGCCUGAAACAGGGCUUGUCCCAGAAUCUGUGUAGCUUCUGUAGUCCACACUCUCACCUGUGCAGACUAGUCUCUGCGGAAUCUGGGAACCAAGAUGGCUCCCCCAGGUGCUGUGGCAAAGCCUUCCUGGGUGGGGCAGACACCUAUCCUCUGGCAGCAUGCUGCUUUCACCUGAUGGUAUGAUACUACUGUGGAUUUCAUAAUCAGAGAUGCAUAAAAGCUAAUAGGAAGCAAAGUAGAUAAAAGGACCAUGUGUUCGCUGUAGCUUCUGACAAGGCACAAGCUACCACUUCCACACAACGACACAUCAUCCUAAUGACUGGAAAACAAGACAGCAUCUGACUACAACUGCCCGAGGAACCCUGACUGAGGGCAUGCAGCUGAGAACAGUCUCACUGUGAGCUAGAGAAGCACAGGAAAUGAUCACUGCUGUACAGCGCUGAGAUCUGAGUGAUUUGCUUCACAGCAAUAAAAAGUAAAUUGAUUUGGAGAUUCAGAAAUAGCAGAAGAUGUGCAGUCCCAGUGCAGAUGUUUACAGGCUGUGAUGAUGGGUGAGUUAACAGCUUGCUCCAGAGAAUAGGGUUAAUGGUGGACAUGGAAGUAAGAGGAGAAAAUGAAACACUGCUUUGCAAUCCCUUUGUAAUCUUCAGAAGUGUAAGCAAUAGCAUUGUGAUUUGAUCAAGGUUGCACAGUUGGGUCUCACAGUGCCCAAACUAGGGUUUGAGGCUUUUCAUUAUGAGAUUUUGUUCAGAUUCCUCCCUUGUUCUUCCUGAGCAGCUACUGAAAACCUGAGUUUACUCUAGCUAUUGGGACAAUUCAAAAUGAUAGUGGUUAUUAAAGUAACAACAAAUACUGAAAAUAUGCUGUUGAUAAUGGGUAUAUUUUCACAACCCAUGCCCUGUGCAUGCACAUACUCCCAUCCUGUGUUAUUCUGAAUUUGAGGAUAGAUCACUAUUAAGGUCCUGGAAAACACCAGGAACUGUGCUGAGUUAUCCAUAUGUAUGACCACAUUUUUCUCCUAGGGCAGAAGAGAACCCAAGGGUUCUUUUUGACUUUCUCAGCAUCCUGCUCCUCAGCAUGCCUGUUUUUCUGUGAUUAGCCACUUUUUAUUCAUUGUUUCUGGAUGUGUGCAUAAUGAAAAUUUUCAUCAAAAGUCUGUAAAGUACACCUUGCAUUGUCCAACACUAGCCAAGGGGUUGGGUACAUCAGAUUCUUCUUAAUGGAAUUGACCUGAGUACAGCUUCAUGCAUAAGGCAGUUACUAGGAUAUUAGCACCUAACAGUUGUGUCUUAGAACUUCCAUCUUCUGCCUCUGGGUUAAUAAUUCAUGUGAGAGGUUCCAGCUUACGAAGAGUGACACAAUUCAUGGGCAGGUAGGACUGUGCUCUGUAACAAAUCUAGCAGAAAGCAAGCUAGUAAGCAAUGUCUUCCCAUUGUCUUUUCUUCCAUUCCUGUUUCUGGCUUUCUUACCCAGACUUCCCUCAGUGAUGUUACAUGAAAGUAUAAGGUAAAGCAAACCUCUUCCUUCUCAAAUUGCUUUUGUCUGCUAAUAUUUGUUAUCACAUUUAAAAAUCUGUCUCAUCAAGUAUUAUGCAGAAUCAACAAAGUCUAUUUUCUUACAGGAUUUCUUAAUUUAAUCUCAUAAAUCUCUAGUGAAUAUUGUAGAUAACUAUGUUUUAGUACAAGAAUUGGAUUCAAUAGGAAGUCUUCAUAGAAGGCUUAAUCUUUAUAGCCAUUUAUUACCAAAGUUCAGGCCUAUGUAGUGAAUGGGUAGUUGGCAGACAUUCACUCUGUAAGACAAAUGCUUCAUGAUUCAUUUAGGGACCUAGAAAUAUUAUGUGAUAAUGUAUAAAUAUCAUCCAAAAGGCUUUCUGCCCUAUAUUUUUAAAAUACAGAAGUUAUAUUUGAAGUAGUCCUGGCCCUAGUUCUAUAGGGCUUGGCUAUGUAAUAUGUUUAUGGAAGAAACGUUUAGUUCUGGAAAAGGUAAAUACUUGUAUAUAAUUUUGCAGCCCUGGAGUCUCCCAACUCCAUUUCUUCCUUUAAUUUAAUUGAUCACUUGUAUAUGUCUUCCCUGCUGUGUUAGAAAAACAGGGGCUGGAUAUCCCAGGAGUCAGAAUGUAUAUAAGAUAAUGCACCUAAACAGCAGGCACAUUUACCAGAUGCUCUCAAAUUUUGGUCCAAAAUGAGUAUUUGGGAAUAGAUUUAUUGUGAAUGUUUAAUUAGCGAUUUUCCUUAAAUUUGGACUAAGUUGUUUUUAAGACUUUUUUCUUUGUAAGCGUCAUAAAUGCUAAUCAACCUGUUAAGUUAUUUUUUCUUACUGCAUGUUACAUUGAAAUAAAAACAGAGUAAAAUGGAAAAAA
This 2530-nucleotide long non-coding RNA is filed under the name Mus musculus (house mouse). RNAcentral's name for it is "predicted gene 16223". The record is from RNAcentral. Lineage: Eukaryota; Metazoa; Chordata; Mammalia; Rodentia; Muridae.